Long non-coding RNA from Columba livia (rock pigeon), 875 nucleotides. RefSeq lists it as uncharacterized. The transcript is spliced from 4 exons. The record is from RefSeq and is a predicted model, not a curated record. Lineage: Eukaryota; Metazoa; Chordata; Aves; Columbiformes; Columbidae.
CUGACCUUUUUCUCAGAGGAGAUAGAGAAGCUGCUCUGGACUCAGCCUGAGUUUGUUCAAAGCUGCUCAGAAAAGCUCAAAACCAUCUUAACAGAUGAGAACAGUUUUGUUGCUUGCUGCACUGUAAGCUUAUUGCCUAAGUCGUUCUCCAGUGCAAUUCAGAUGUGAAGGAAAUCCUUGUGAAUGGAUGGUGGGUUCCAUUUGUGGACCACUCCCUCUGCUGCAUCCCCUUUUUUAUCUUCCAAAUCAAAUACAAGAGAGAAACUAUUUCUGGAAAACAGUGCUUCCUGUGUGUCAAGAAACUCUGAUUUACAGGCUUUAUCUCCAGUUCCAGAAGCAGGAGGCUGAAUUGCCUGAUCUUUUAUACCCAGGACCUGGCUGUGAAGACCCAAGUAGGAAUUACAGGAUUGCAGCCAGUAUCCCAACAUGGUCUGUGGCACCGACCUGUGCAGCUUGUCUCACACAUCAGGUUGGGAAGAGAGCAUAUUUGUUAAAAGUAAAGCAAAAAAACCUGAAGAAACUAAACAAACCCUCCGGAAAAACUUCUGCUGAGCAAAGUGGUAGAAAAUAAAAGCAGUUGUUUGACAUGCUGCAGCAAUGAAAGCCACCUUCUGAGGACAAGGAAGAGGUUCAUGUUAUUUGUCCCCUAAUUUCUGCUGUUAAUCUUUCACCGGAUUAUGUGCACGUGAAGGUAUUUCAGUUAUCUUCUGCCCUCAUGCCAAUAUUUGUUAGAAUUUGGGAUGGAAUUUAAUAUGAGUAAUGUCAGGAGAAACAGGUCAGAGUUUCAGAUUAACACCAAUAACCAUAAUGAGAACAGAUGCUUAUAUCCAUCUGGAAUGUAGAUUUAAUAUGUUAAAUUCAUAGCUCAGCCCAUG